GCUCCUUUAGCUCAGUGGGAGAGCGCGCCACUCGUAUAGCGAUAUGGUGAGGUCACUAGUUCAAUCCUGGUAGGGAGCA
RNAcentral lists this transfer RNA (79 nucleotides) under Ustilago trichophora. It matches the Rfam family "tRNA". From Rfam's summary of the family: Transfer RNA (tRNA) molecules are approximately 80 nucleotides in length. The record is from Rfam by way of RNAcentral. Lineage: Eukaryota; Fungi; Basidiomycota; Ustilaginomycetes; Ustilaginales; Ustilaginaceae.